This 532-nucleotide ribosomal RNA is filed under the name uncultured bacterium. RNAcentral's name for it is "bacterial SSU rRNA". It matches the Rfam family "Bacterial small subunit ribosomal RNA", at positions 977 to 1509 of the family's 1533-position model. The record is from RNAcentral.
GGCCUUGACAUACUAAGAACUUUCCUAGAGAUGGAUUGUGCCUUCGGAACUUAGAUACAGGUGCUGCAUGGCUGUCGUCAGCUCGUGUCGUGAGAUGUUGGGUUAAGUCCGCAACGAGCGCAACCCUUUUCCUUAUUUGCCAGCGGGUAAUGCCGGGAACUUUUAAGGAUACUGCCAGUGACAAACUGGAGGAAGGCGGGGACGACGUCAAGUCAUCAUGGCCCUUACGGCCAGGGCUACACACGUGCUACAAUGGUCGGUACAAAGGGUUGCUACCUCGCGAGAGGAUGCUAAUCUCAAAAAGCCGAUCGUAGUCCGGAUCGCAGUCUGCAACUCGACUGCGUGAAGUCGGAAUCGCUAGUAAUCGCGGAUCAGAAUGCCGCGGUGAAUACGUUCCCGGGCCUUGUACACACCGCCCGUCACACCAUGGGAGUUUGUUGCACCAGAAGUAGGUAGUCUAACCGCAAGGAGGACGCUUACCACGGUGUGGCCGAUGACUGGGGUGAAGUCGUAACAAGGUAAGCGUAGAUGA